CAGAGGCCACGAGCGUUAGGCGGAAUCACUGGGCUUAAAGCGUGUGUAGGCGGACCCGUAAGUGUCUUGUGAAAUCCCACGGCUCAACCGUGGAACUGCUGGGCAUACUGCGGGUCUUGAGCCGGCCAGGGGUCACCGGAACAAGCGGUGGAGCGGUGAAAUGCGUAGAUAUCGCUUGGAACGCCGACGGUGAAAACGGGUGACUGGGGCCGCGCUGACGCUGAGACACGAAAGCCAGGGGAGCGAAGGGGAUUAGAUACCCCGGUAGUCCUGGCCCUAAACGAUGUCCACUAGAUCGCAGGACCUCUGACGGUCUUGCGGUCGGAGCAAAAGUGUUAAGUGGACCGCCUGGGAAGUACGGUCGCAAGGCUA
This 372-nucleotide ribosomal RNA is filed under the name uncultured organism. RNAcentral describes it as "bacterial SSU rRNA". It matches the Rfam family "Bacterial small subunit ribosomal RNA", at positions 526 to 896 of the family's 1533-position model. The record is from RNAcentral.